GACGAACGCUGGCGGCGUGCUUAACACAUGCAAGUCGAACGGAAAGGCCCUGCUUUUGUGGGGUGCUCGAGUGGCGAACGGGUGAGUAACACGUGAGUAACCUGCCCUUGACUUUGGGAUAACUUGAGGAAACUGGGGCUAAUACCGGAUAGGAGCUCCUGCUGCAUGGUGGGGGUUGGAAAGUUUCGGCGGUUGGGGAUGGACUCGCGGCUUAUCAGCUUGUUGGUGGGGUAGUGGCUUACCAAGGCUUUGACGGGUAGCCGGCCUGAGAGGGUGACCGGCCACAUUGGGACUGAGAUACGGCGCAGAGUCCUACGGGAGGCAGCAGUGGGGAAUAUUGCACAAUGGGCGGAAGCCUGAUGCAGCAACGCCGCGUGCGGGAUGACGGCCUUCGGGUUGUAAACCGCUUUCGCCUGUGACGAAGCGUGAGUGACGGUAAUGGGUAAAGAAGCACCGGCUAACUACGUG
This 468-nucleotide ribosomal RNA is filed under the name uncultured bacterium. RNAcentral's name for it is "partial 16S ribosomal RNA". It matches the Rfam family "Bacterial small subunit ribosomal RNA", at positions 28 to 507 of the family's 1533-position model. The record is from RNAcentral.